AACGAACGCUGGCGGCAUGCUUAAUACAUGCAAGUCGAACGAGAAAGCCCUUCGGGGUGAGUAUAGUGGCGCACGGGUGAGUAAUACAUGGGAACGUACCUUAGGGUGGGGUAUAACCACGGGAAACUGUGGCUAAUUCCGCAUAAUCUGGUAACAGGAAAGUUGGCCUCUGAUUUAAGCUAGCGCCCCUAGAUCGGCCCAUGUCCCAUUAGCUUGUUGGUAGGGUAAUGGCCUACCAAGGCUACGAUGGGUAGCGGGUCUGAGAGGACGAUCCGCCACACUGGGACUGAGACACGGCCCAGACUCCUACGGGAGGCAGCAGUAGGGAAUCUUGCACAAUGGACGAAAGUCUGAUGCAGCAAUGCCGCGUGAGUGAAGAAGGCUCUUGGGUUGUAAAGCUCUUUCGACAGGAAAGAAGGGUGUUUGAUCGAACAGAUUAAGUACUUGACGGUACCUGUAUAAGAAGCACCGGCUAACUCCG
This 481-nucleotide ribosomal RNA is filed under the name uncultured delta proteobacterium. RNAcentral's name for it is "bacterial SSU rRNA". It matches the Rfam family "Bacterial small subunit ribosomal RNA", at positions 29 to 505 of the family's 1533-position model. Lineage: Bacteria; Deltaproteobacteria. The record is from RNAcentral.